RNAcentral lists this ribosomal RNA (498 nucleotides) under uncultured bacterium. RNAcentral describes it as "bacterial SSU rRNA". It matches the Rfam family "Bacterial small subunit ribosomal RNA", at positions 28 to 513 of the family's 1533-position model. The record is from RNAcentral.
GAUGAACGCUAGCGGCAGGCUUAACACAUGCAAGUCGAGGGGCAGCAUGACACGGAGAUUCGUCGAAGUGUUGAUGGCGACCGGCGCAAGGGUGCGUAACGCGUGAGCAACUUGCCCGUUUCAGGGGGAUAACCGGUGGAAACGCCGACUAAUACCCCAUAGUAUUGAUUUAAGGCAUCUUUUAUCAAUUAAAGAACUUCGGAAACGGAUAGGCUCGCGUGACAUUAGCUAGAUGGCGGGGUAACGGCCCACCAUGGCGACGAUGUCUAGGGGUUCUGAGAGGAAGGUCCCCCACACUGGAACUGAGACACGGUCCAGACUCCUACGGGAGGCAGCAGUGAGGAAUAUUGGUCAAUGGUCGAGAGACUGAACCAGCCAUGCCGCGUGAAGGUGACGGCCCUAUGGGUCUUAAACUUCUUUUGUAAGGGAGCAAUAAGUCUCACGUGUGGGAUGAUGAGAGUACCUUACGAACAAGCAUCGGCUAACUCCGUGCCAGCA